Molecule: ribosomal RNA, 524 nt
Filed under: uncultured bacterium
Lineage: Bacteria
Description: bacterial SSU rRNA
Rfam family: Bacterial small subunit ribosomal RNA
Source: RNAcentral
UUUGAUCCUGGCUCAGGAUGAACGCUAGCGGCAGGCUUAACACAUGCAAGUCGAGGGGUAACAGGGAUUGCUUGCAAUCCGCUGACGACCGGCGCACGGGUGCGUAACGCGUAUGCAACCUACCUUCUACAGGGGGAUAGUCAAUAGAAAUGUUGAAUAAUACCCCAUACGAUCUUUGAAUAGCAUUAUUUAAAGAAGAAAGUUCCGGCGGUAGAAGAUGGGCAUGCGUCCUAUUAGUUAGUUGGAGAGGUAACGGCUCCCCAAGACAUCGAUAGGUAGGGGUCCUGAGAGGGAGACCCCCCACACUGGUACUGAGACACGGACCAGACUCCUACGGGAGGCAGCAGUGAGGAAUAUUGGACAAUGGAGGCAACUCUGAUCCAGCCAUGCCGCGUGCAGGAAGACUGCCCUAUGGGUUGUAAACUGCUUUUAUACNGGAAGAAUAAGCCUUACGUGUAAGGUGAUGACGGUACUGUAAGAAUAAGGACCGGCUAACUCCGUGCCAGCAGCCGCGGUAAUAAGGG